RNAcentral lists this long non-coding RNA (14610 nucleotides) under Homo sapiens (human). RNAcentral describes it as "HSALNT0172166". Lineage: Eukaryota; Metazoa; Chordata; Mammalia; Primates; Hominidae. The record is from RNAcentral.
UUUAUAAUUACUUAAAAUAUUAUAUUAAUGACAAAAUCCUGAAUAAAAAAGACUGUAAUUACUAAAAGUUAUAAGUAGAAUGGUUAGAAAUUUAGGAACUCAAAAUGUACCAAGGAAAAUUAUCAACAGUAAAAUAAUAUUAUCACUAUAAAAAUUAAGCAAAAAAAAUUAUUUCAUUCUACACAAGAUUUGCCUUUCUUAGUAUUGCAGUAUCACAGUCAUUUCAACCUGAUUUUCAUUGACUUUACAUUGCAGUGUUUGGCUAAAUAAUCUCUAAAAAUAUCCUCAGUCCUUAGAUAAAAAGUAAUUCCACACUUCUAAGAAAAGCAGUUGCAUGCAUCAAUCUUCUUAUAAAAGGAAGCAUUUAAAACUGUACAGUAAAUAUCAAUGUUCUCUAAAGAAUUCACACUUUUCAUACACUUAAAAAUCAUGUAAGCAUCCUUAAUCGCCAUAGUUAGGAUCAGUCAGUAAUCUGCCACUGCACUAGUUAUAAAGAUUGAAAAACACUGUGCAACCUUCUGUGUGUGUGUGAGAUACUGUUCCAUUUGGAAAUGUAUAAUGAGGAUCCUGGAUUGUUAAUUUGGUAGAACCACGUGGUUCUCUUUUCUCCAUACAGCAUUACAACAGAAGUAAGAAACUUCAUAUAAAUACUGUUAAAGAAUCAGUGGCAUAAAGUUAAUUUUUAUUUUAGUAAUUGGUUUUUCACGAUUAAAAAAUUAGUUAAUAUAGCAUAUAAGAUUGGACGCAUAAUCUCAAAUUUCAUCUGAUGUUCUCUCUUUUCUUCACACAUGGGCUAAGCAGAACUACUGAUAAUAUUACACAUAAACUAAAAGAAAUGGAAUCAUUAAGACAGUAUCUUCAAAUAUUUUUCUUUUGAUAUAGGACAAGCUGUUCCUCAAAAGAUAAAGGAGCUUAAUGGUCGUAGUUGCAAAAUAUCUGGCAAAGCUUAGAAAACUACUGUCCACAUAUUGUUUGAUAGAGCUCACUUUGGAACAAGAUAAAAAUAAGAAAAGACAUAGAUAUUCAAAGGUGUCUAAACCCAUCUGAUCCCCUAUUUUGUUCUCAGAACACAAGGAAACAAGUGAAGAAACCAAACGGCUGGGUUUUUUUCCACAUGACCAUGCAUUUUAUUGGUGGUCAAAUGACACAUUUAGAAAAAAAUUUUUUUUCCCUCUCAGGCAUAUUUUUGGGGGAAAAAGGAAAGUUCUAUAAAAAACAACAGAAAAACAAGCUUUAAAGAAAUUACAUCUAUAGCUUAACACAGACUGAUACUAAAUGUCAGGCUUUCCAAAUAGUGGUAAUUUAAACUGGUAAAAACUCAAUAUUCAAAAAAGGAUGGGGGGAGAGGGAGAGUGAGAUAAUUAUGUAACUCAAAUUCUACUUUGGUGUGUGUGUAUUGGUCUCCGGCUUAUAGUUAAUACCUAGAGAUCUUUAAAAAAAAUUAAAACUUGGAGAAAAGUUUAAAGAACAGAGAACUCUCAAAUACUUUACUCAUAUUCAUCAACUUUUAAACAUUUUUGCCAAUUUUGCUUUCCCUCGCCCAACCCAACAUUAUUAUGUAUCUUUGUUUUAGCCAUUUGAGAGUAGGUUCACACCUCAUCAUGCUUUGCCUCUUAACUUCAAUAUGACUUUUUAAGAAUAAAGAUAUUCUUACACAAACAGUAAUCAAACUCUGGAAAAUUUAAUACUGAUAAAGUACUUUCAUCAGCCAUAUUCCAAUUCUGUCAAUUACCUUAACAAUGUAUUUCUCUCCAUCUAGUACACAAUCUGUCUCAAGGCCACAGAUUUUGUUUGGUCUCUUGAGAUUCCUUUAAUCUCGAGGCAUUCCAGAGUUUGCCUUUCUUUCAUAACACUGAUAUUUUUUGAAGAACAGAGGCCACUUAUUUUAUAAAAUGUUCUGCAAUUUGGGUUUGUCUGAUGUUCUUCAUUAUUAGAUUUAUACAUUCCUUGCUAGGCUACUAUGACAUUAGCAAAGAUGUGCCCUUCUAAGGGUAGCAUAGUCACAGGCCAUGAUGUACCUAACUUUCUCUUUGGUGAUAUUAGCUUUAAUUAUCUGGUCAAGGUAUUGUCCAGUCUCUCUACCAUAUAGUUAUUAUUUUUACUCUCGCGGCUAAUAAGCAAUCUGUAAGGAGAUACUUGGAGACCAUGCAAAAAUCCUGAGCCUUACCAAAUCUUCCACCCUUGAUUUUAACAUCCACUUACAGAUUCCUGCCUAAAUCAAAUUUUAAUGUUUGCUUUCUGAACCAACUUGAAAAUCUUUUUAAUAGGCAAUUUAAGCCCACUCAUAUUUGAUAUGACUGGUAUGCUUGGUCCUAUCUCAGUCACUACUGUGUAAUUACUGUGUGUGUUAGGUAAUAUUUAUUGUGUUCCUUUGUUAUUUUUUACAUUUUCUUUUGGUAUUUAGCAAGGUUUGUAAUUUUAUUCUACAGUUACUUUUGCAUUUAUAGUUUUGUUAGUGUCCUUGGACCUCUUUUUUUCCCACCCACCCCCACCCUGUUUACUCUUUCUUAAGCUUUCAGUGUCUGCCAGUUUUAAAUGGUCUCCUUUAUUCCCCACCCACACAACAGUCUGUGAUCUUAUUCUGCUCUCCCUUUCUCUCCCCCUUCUAAAAAGUGGUAUUAUUUGUACUUUGUCUAACAUGUAACAUUACAUACUACUCUGCUGUUCCCGUGUUCCCACCCUUGUAUUUAGGCCUUAAUUUAAUAUAGUAAGUGCUCACAGUUCUUUUGCCGAAGCUGCCCGUGAUCUCUUGGUUGGGUUAAGCUCAUCCUCUAAUGAACUCCUCAAUGGCUCAUGGAUAUAAUACCCAAUGAGUUCCUGAAUAUUCAAACUUGUCUUUUUAUAGCUGUCAUAAUUAAGAAACACUUGCCUGGCUAUCAAAUCCUUGGCUGGUACUUUCUUGAAUUUCUGGAAAUUGCUACUCUGUUGGCAGGAUUUGCAUGUUGUUCUUCUGAAAUAUGAUGCCAACCCAAUUCAUCUUUUUUUUCAGAUGAGGUCUUGCUCUGUCAUCCAGGCUGGAAUGCAGUGGUGUGCUGGCUCACUGCAGCUUUGAAAUCCCUGGCUCAAGCAAUUCUCUUACCUCAGCCUCCUGAAUAGUUAGGACCACAGGCACAUUCCACCACAACUGAUAACUGAUUUUUUAUUUUUUUGUAGAGACAUGGUCUCAAUAUGUUGCCCAAACUGGUCUCAAACUCCUGGGUUCAAGGGAUCCUCCUGCCUCAGCCUCUCAAAAUGCUGGAAUUACAGGCAUGAGCCACUGUGACUGGCCUCAAUUCAUCUUUAAUAGUUUACUAAAAUACAUCUCAGAGUUUAUCAUUCCAGGUCCUUCAAAAGGUAGACUUGACAUUUCCCUUAUUCCCAGAAACUUUCUCUGAAUUACAGUUUAUCUAUUAGUUCUGGUCCACUGUUUUAUUUUUCUUCUUCACAGACUCCAAUUAUGUUGGACACCCUUUGCUGGUCUUCUCUUUCAAUUUUUUUUUUCUGAGAUCCUUUUUACUUUUACAAAAAUCUCAUUUCCAUUCAAUGUCCUUCAUUAGAUCUUCUUUCUAUUUUCUCUUGAGCAUUUUUUAAUUUAUUCUUCACUUCUAAGAUAUUUUUGUCUUUUUCUUCUGUUUCUUUCCUGAAUUUGAUGAAUUCCCACUUCAUUUCUUACAGCAUUGUUUUUGUUUUUUAAAUCUAUUUCUUUGCUUAAGUUUUUGGAUACCAGGUUUUGUUCUGCUCAUUUGAGAAUAUUUAAUUCAGUCAGAGUACCAUGUUGAUAAUUCCAGAGUGACAACAGUUUCAUAUUCUAGAUCUUACUGCUCCCCAUAUAUUAUGCAAAAUGUAAUUCUGCACAUCUUUUUAUUUACUUAUUUGAGACAGGAUCUCACCACGUUGCCCAGGCUGGUCUCAAACUCCUAAGCUCAGGCAAUCCUCUGCCUUGACCUCCCGAAGUGCUAGGAUUACAGGCGUGAGCCACCAUGCCCAGCCUGCACAUCCUUUUACACUAUAAUUUUCAGAAUUCAGGAUAGAAUAUAAAGAAUUCUUACAUCCUUAGUUCUCCAAUCAAAAACAAUACGGGUUAUUCCAAUUUUAGAGCUAAUGCAAAUAAUCCAGGCACAGUGCAAUCAAAAGGUAUAUGCAAGGAAUGGUAUUGCCUAUAAAUCCUUUUUUUAACCAUUUAUGUGUACAUAUGAAUUAUUCAUCAAUUAAAAUCUACUUAAUUUUGAAUAGAGAAAUGAGUGUUAAAACACCAUACUUCAAUUUUUACAUGAACAAAAAAAGAAAGUAGAUCCACCACUGAGAAUUAUUUCCUGAUUUUGAUGUACUAAGCAAUUUUGGUACUACUGAUAUACAGGAACAUGAUGUUUUCCUUAAAAAUAUAUUCAACUGUCUUUCCCGAAUAUAUACUUUAACAUUACUACUUUUUAACUAGGAAAAGGCCUAUAUACUUUUACCUAAGCUGUCUACUUUUUUUUUCAUUGAAACUUUUGAGAUAAUUGUAAAUUCAUAUGCAAUCGUAAGAAAUAACAUACAGAGACCUCUUGUACACUUCCCCCAGUUUACUGGAAACAUUUUGCAAAACUAUGGCAUAUCAUAACCAUGAUAUUGGCAUUCAUACACCUAUCUAAUUCAGAUUUUCCCAGCUUUAGUGCACUCAUUUGCCUGUGUAUAUGUGUCUAUUAAGUUCCAUACAAUUCUAUCACCUGUAGAGGUUCAUAUAUUCAACACCCGUCAAAAGACUGAACAGUUCCUAUGCAAGGAUAACUUGUGCCACCCUCUUAUAGCCACAACCACCUGCUUCUCCUCUCCCUGCUCCCACCAAAUCCGUAAGACCUGGUAAUGGUUAAUCUGUCCCACAGUUCUAAAAGGUUGUCAUAUCAAAAGUAUUACAUAAAUGGAAUCAUAAAGUAUGUAAUAACCUUUUGAGAUUGGCUUUUUUCACUCGGAAUAAUUCCCUGGAUAUUCUUUCAAGUUUUUGUGUUUAUUAAUAGUUUGUUCCUUUUUAUUGCUAAGUACUAUUUCAUGGUUUGUAUGAACCACAGUUUGUUAAACCAUUCACUUACUGAAGCAGAUAUGGGCUGAUUCCAGUUUUGAAUAUUAAAAACAAAGAUGGAAUAAAUAUUUGUGCACAGGUUUUCAUGUAAACAUAAAUUUCAAUUUUUCUGGGAUAAAUGACCAAUAGUUCAAUUGCUAGAGUUUAUGGUAACUGCACGUGUCAUUUUAUAAGAAACUACCCAUAACAUUUCACAUUCCCACCAGCAGUGUAUGUGUGAUACAGUUUCUCCACAUAGUCACCAGAUUUCCAUGCUGUCAUUAUUUGUAGCCAUCUGGCAGGUAAAGAAUAAUAUAUUCAUUAUGGUUUGAAUUUGCAUUUCCCUAAUAGCCAGCAAUGUUGAGUAUCUUUUCUGUAUUUGACAUUUGUAUAUCCUCUUUAAUGAAAUGUUAUGUCUUUUGCCAAUUGUCUAGAUGAAUUUUUCUAAACUGAUGUCUUGAGAGUACUUUAUAUAUUCUAGAUAUGAGUCCUUUGUCAGAUAGACAGCUUGCAAAUAUGUCUGGAGAUUCUCUUUAUCAUAUGGGCUUUCAGAGAGUAAAUAUUUUUAAUUUUAAUGUUUGCUAAUUGUCCCUUUUGUAGACUGUACUUUUGGUAGCAAAUCUAAAAACUCUUUGCUUAGCCCAGAUCUGGAAGACUUUCUCCUAUGUUUUUUCUAAAAGUUACAUAGUCUUACAUUUUACAUUUAAGUUUAUGACCCAUUUUGAGUUAAUUUUUGUAUAAAGUCAUUUAAGUCAAGGUUCAUUUUUGUGAUAUGGAUGUCCAGUUGUUCCAUCACCAUUUGUUGGAAACACCAUUUUUCCUCCAUUGACUUGCUUUUGUGUCUCAGUCAAUAAUUAGGCAUAUUUGUGUGGAUCUAUUUCUGGGUUUUCUAUUCUACUCCACGGAUCUAUUUGCCUACCCCUCUACCAAUAUCACAUAGUCUUGAUUACUAUAGCCAUAUAAUAAGUCUUUUUGGCUAAGUAGUAUUCCAUUCCAAAUCAUGUAGACUGGUAACUUCCACUUUAUUUUUAUUUUUGAAAACUCUUAGCUAUUCUAGUUUCUUAGGCUUCCAUAUACAUUUUGGAAUAAGCUUGUAUAUGUCCUCAAAAAAUCUUGCUGGACUUUGACAGGAACUGCAUUAAGACUAUGUAAUUAUCUUUACUAUAUUGAAUCUUCCAAUUAAUAAGUACAGUAUGUUUCUCCAUUUAUUCUUUUCAAAGUUUUUUUGACACAUAAUACUGUAAAUAUUUAUGAAGUACAUGUGAUACUUGAUACAUGCAUAGAAUCAAGUCAAGCUAUUUAGGAUAUCCAUCACCUUGAACAUUUACCAUUUCUUUGUAUUGGGAACAUUUAAAAUCUUCUAUUCUAGCUAUUUUGAAAUACACAAUAUAUUGUUAACUAUAGUCACUCUAAUCUGCUCUCAAACACUAGAACUUACUGAUUCUAUCUAACUGUAUGUUUGUACCUAUUAACCAACCUGUCUUUAUCCCCGCCUCUCUCAAACACACUGUUCCCAGCCUCUGGUAACUACCAUUCUACUCUCUACCUUCAUGAGAUCAGCUUUAUUUUUAGUUCCCACAUGUAAAUGAGAACAUGUAAUAUCUGUCUUUCUGGUCCUAGCUUAUUUAACAUAAUCUUUUCAAAGUUUUGUAGUUUUGAACACAUAGGUCCAGUACAUUUUUUGUUGGAUUUCCAUCUUUUUUCUUUUUGCAAAAUUAUAAAUGGUAUUGUAUUUUAAACUUCACUUUCUACAUGUUCAUUGUUAGUAUCUUGAAAUACAAUUUAUUUUUUAUGUUAUUUUUAUCCUGCUACCUUGCUAAACUCACGUAUUAGUUCAGGUGUUGUUUUUUUUUUUUUUUUUUUGUACAAGGGAUUUUCUACAUAGAUAAUCAUAUCACCUAAAAAUACAGACAAUUUUAUUUCUUCCUUUAGUAGUGCUUUUCAUUUCCUCUUCUUACCUUACUGUGUUGGCUAGGACUUCUAGGACUAUGCUGAAAAGGAGUGGUAGGAGCAGACAUCCUUGCCUAGACAAGCGUGCCAUUCCCUAGGAAGAAAGCAGUCUCUCACAAUGAAGUAUGAUGUUAGCUAUAGAUAUUUUAGAUACGUUUUUUAAUCAAGUUGAGGAAAUUUCCCUCUAUUCCUAGUAAUCUGAGUUAUUAUAAGUGAAUUUUGAAUUUUAUUAAGCACCUUUUCUAAAUCGAUAUGAUCAUAUGAAUUUUCUUUUUUGGCUCGUUAAUAUGGAAGAUUAUACUCAUUGAUUUUUAAAAUACUGACCAGUCUUGAAUCCCGGAAAUCAAUCCUAGUCACAAUAUAUAAUUCUUUUUAUAAAUUGCUUAAUUCCAUUUGCUAAUAUUUUGGAAAGAAUUUUACCAACUACACAUAUAAGGGAUACUGUUUUUUUUAAGAACUGUCUUGGUUUAAUAUCAGGUAAGAAUAGUGUCACAGGACUAUGGGUUUCCUCCUCUUCCUUUCUUUUUUUUUGAAAAGAAAUUGUACAGACCUGGUGUUCACUGUUCUUCGAAUGUUUGAUACAAGUAUCCAGUGAAACAAUCAAGAUUUGGAGAUUUCCUUUCAAGAGGUUUUAAAUUAUAAAUGUAAUUACCUUAACAGUUACAGGACUAUUCAAAUUAUCUAAUUCCUAUUGAGUUCUUUUCAAAGAAUUGGUUCGUUUUAUCUAAGUUGUCAAAUUUAUAUGUGCAGAGUUGUUUGUUGUGAUCCCUUUGAUAUCUGCAAGAUCUAUAGUUAUAUCCUUUUCAUUCCUGAUACUGGAAAUUUUUGCCUUCCCUUUUUCUCUGUCAGUCUUGCUAUUUGUCAAUUUUAUUGUCUUUUCAAAGAGCCAGCCCUUUGUUUUGUUGACUUCCUCUACUGUUUUCUCAUGUUCAAUGUUACUGAUUUCUCGGCUUUUCUUUAUUAUGUCCUUCCUUCCGCUUGCUUUGGGUUUCUUUUGCUCUUCUUUUUUCAGGUUAGGUGGAAGCUUAGAUUUCUGAUUUGGCCCUUUUCCUGUCUUUUAGUAUAAGCAUUUAAUACUGUGAGUUUCCCUCUCGGUAUUGCUUUAGUUGUGCCUCAAAAAAAUUCGUUAUGUUUUACUUUUCAUUAAGUUCAAAAUAUUUUUAAAAUUUCCCUUGAGACUUCCUCUUUGACCCAUGGAUCAUUUAGAAGUGUUAUUUCCCAAGUGUUUUGUGAUAUUCCUGUCUGCUAAUCUGAUUCCACUGUUGUUGAAAAAAAUCACACAUUCCAUGAUUUUAAAUUUUUUGAGGUCUUAUGGUCCAGAGCAUAUGGUCUAUCCUCGUAUAUAUUUAAUGGAUACUUGAAAAGGAUGUGUAUUCUGCUGCUGUUGGGUGAAGCACUUUAGCAAUGUUCAUUAGAUCUGUUGGUUGAUGGUGUUGCUGAGUUCUACCUCUUUGCUAUUUCUGUCUAGUUGUUCUACCUAUCAGUAAGAGAGGGAGGCGUGCUGAAGUCUGCAACUGUAAUUGUAGAUUUGUCUUUUUCCUUUUAGUUAUGACAGUUUUUCCUUCAUGUAUUUUGGCAGCUGUGUUAUUUUCUGCAUACACAUUUAGGAUUGUUGUCUUCUCGGUUGUUUGACACUUUUAUUACAAUGUAACAGCCCUCUCUGUCUGUGGUAAUUUUCUUUGCUCUAAAGUCUUCUUUAUCUGACACUAAUAUGGCCAUUCCUGAUUUAUUUUGGCUUAUUGUGUUUGGGGUUUGCUCAGCUACUCAGAUCUGUAGGUUUAUGCCUUUUGCUAAAUUUGGAACAUUUUCAUCCAUUAUUUCUUUGUGCCUGCCUUCUUUUUCCUUAUUAAUCUCCUUUCAGGACUUUAAUGACACAAGUGUUACACCUUUGCUCUCCUUCCAGUAUUCCAAUGACACAGUGCUAAACCUUUUGUUAUAGUCCCAUAAGUCCUUGAGGAUAUAUAUUUUUUUCAGUCUAUCUUCUCUCUGCUGUUUAGACUGGGUAAUAUCUAUCAUUCUAUCUUCAAGUUCACAGAUUCGACCUACUGUCUCUUUCAUUCAGCUGUUCAGCCUAUCCACUGGGUUUUUAAUUUUGCUUAUUGCAGUUUUCAGUUCCAAAUUUUCAUUUCUUUGUAUCUCUAACUGAUUCCCUAAAAUUUUCAUUGUUUUCAGUGUGCUUAGGACUGCUCACUGAAGUGUUUCUAUGAUGGCUGCUUUAAAAUAUUUAUCAAAUAAUUCUAACAUCUUUGUCAUUUCAGUGUUUAUGUCUACUGGUUUUCUUUUUUAACUCAAACUGAGAUUUGUGAUUUUUUAAUUGAAACCUGGACAUUUGGGGUGUUAUGAGAUUCUGGACCAUAUUUAAACCUUCUAGUUUAAAUGCCUCCUUUGACACUGUACCAUCUGGGGAAAGGGCUCUGCCAUAUUAGUGCCAGAUGGCAUUAGAAGUCCAGGUUUCCCACUUGGCCUAUGUGGACAUCUGAAUGGAGGAAGCUCCUUGUUAGUGCUGCGCAGGGAAAGGAAUUCUGGGUAUUCAGUAGGCCUCUGCUGAUAUAACCUUGGCUGUAAAGGGCAGGAGUAUCUCAGUACUACACCCCAACACUGACACAAGCAGGAGGGGCUCGCCUCUUUACCCCUGGGAGGUGGUGAAGGAACAGAGAAUCUAGGCUCCCCACUCAGCACUGGCAGGCACAAGUUGAUGUAAGGCCUUUUCUUUCUGUGGUGUUUGGUUAGAGCACAGCAGUUAUGGUCUAAAAGUUUUCUGGCUUGCUAGGCUGUCUUUUUCCUCGUCCUUCAGUUAAAGAGAACAGGGUUUUUCAGUCUGUACCCAUUGCUGUUUCCAGGCUGCCAGCUUCUUCAGUUCCAAGCCUGGGAUAUAUUAGGCAAAAAGAAAACCCAUGGAACUCACCACCGUGUUAUUCCUUGGGUGCUGAGGUCCCUAGUGUGUAUGCCUUCUCUCCACCUUUCAGUCUUCUUAUGUUUAUUUUACAUAUAAUGCUCAAGGUUUUCAGUUGUUUUAGUGGGAGGAAUAGGGCAAUGUACAUCUACUCCAUCUUCCUGAAAGCAGAAGUCCCCACUUUUUAAACUUGUUCCCACUAUGUCCAACCAUACACAUUCCUGGAAAAAUGAGGGUAGAGUCUGUGGAAGAGAUUUUUCUUUAACUGAUGCUUACAUAUUUGGACAAAUUUGGACCACUGCUUCACCCAAAUGAGUUCUGUGGCUGAGUCACCCAUGUAAGAAUGUCCAAACCACCUGUUAUGUCAGGGUAAGACUUAUAAUAUAAACUUGUGUAAAUAGUUGAAAUGCUUUUGAUUUCACACUUACUAAUUUCACAAUUUUCCAUUCAAAACUUUAAAACAAUCAUUAAACUAUGUUUACUUAGGAAACAAGUCUUUUAUAUAAUCUUAUUUCUCCAAAGGCACUGUAUGAAAUUAUGCAGCUAAACCCUGAUCAAACUUUGAACACGUUUUUGUCAUAAUAAACAGGUAUUUAAAUGUACGUAAUGAACAAUAGAAUAAAAGUAUCCUAAAAGAAAAUGGCCUAGAACAGUGUCUGCCAUAGAGUAGGCCCUAAAUAAAUGUUGUAUGACAAAAUACACCAAUAAAAAGACAGUGUCUAAAAUUUUACUGUUAAAUAAAAAAGCACUUCCUUAGAUAAUGUCAAACAUGAGGCUACAUUGUUUUUCUUUAAUUUAUAAAUUAUGCUUUCAUAAUUAACAAACAAAAAGUUAAUAUUUCUAAUUUCUAUGUAUUACUAGAAUAUACUUAGAACUAUCUCCUUAUUUAAUACAUUCUCACAUGGGGUUGGCAAUAAGCAUAGUCAAAGUUACUUUGAUCUAGUCAGUGAACAUAGAAGGUUCUAACUAUCUAAUAAGUCAUUAAGAGCAAAAUUAUUUAAAGAUUACUACAAGUAAUUCUUCAGCUGAUAUUAAUUUUUCAGGAUUAAUAAAAAAUAUGUAAAACAACAGGAAAUUAUAACACAUAUUUUAGUAUUCUCACUCCCUCUCAACAUCCCAAGGACACAAAUAUAAACAAAGUAGUGACAUUCUUAAAUCACCUUAAUCUAAUGUAGAGCUUCCCAUAUUAUGUUCCUCAGAAUCCUAAUGUCUCUUGAGAUAUUAACAGAUGUCCCACAGAGAAAGAAAAUGCUAGGUUAAACACAUUUAAACAAACUUCUCAACUACAGGAAUCACUGGGGCAUUUAAAAUAUAAUAUGCACUGUGAUAUUUCCAAAGAGGAUUAUUGUUAUAGUUUCCCAAAUCUAUUUAAUCAAGGACACCUUCCCCAAAAUAUCUACUAAAUCCUUUUACAGACUAGUAUUGAACAGAACUCAAUCUGAGAUAUACAGAAUGGCAGAAGAGCCUUUCAAUAUUGAUUCCGUACUUGGAUGAGUAAAAUGAAGAUCAGAAAUCUAACAAAUAUCAGUUACAAUAACUAAAAAUCUAUUGAAAAAAGAAAUUAUUAUAAUAAAAGGCUUUUUUUGACCUCCCUACUUUACGGGAGCUUAUUUUUUAAACUGCAGAAGUCUCCCAGCACUCAUUAUAAAAAUAACCUGUUAUCAUACUAAAAAAAAACCCAUAAAAAUUGAUUGUGGAUAUUAUAAUAAGUUAGAUGAGUGCUACUUUCAGUCCUAUUUUAAUCCUACCUAUUAUUUGCAAGUUAAUUUAUUUGACCAUAAAGAUAAAACAACUCCAGAAAUUGGACAUUUUAGAUGAAGGUUUAAAAAAGAAAAACCCUGGCUGGGCGUGGUAGCUCAUGCCUGAAAUCCCAGCACUUUGAGAGGCUGAGACAGGAGGAUUGCUAGAGGCCAGGAGUUUGAGACCAGCCUGGUCAACACAGCGAGACCCCAUCUCUAAAAAAAGAAAUAAAUAUUUAAUAAAUUUUUUAAAAGAGAGAGAGAAAAAAAAGAAAAACCCUUCAAUUUUUAAAAGACCUCACUCUUAAUUAUCUGAAAUUAAACCCAUAAUAUUGUGGCACACUAAACAAAACAUACAAUAAACAGAAUAUAUAACCAUCAGUGUGUACAUGUGCGUGCACAUGCACGUGCUAGUGUAUAUGUCUACAUCUAUAUCUUUUUUUGUUUUUUUUGAGACAGAGUCAUGCUCAGUUGCCCAGGCUGGAGUGCAGUGGUGCGAUCUCAGCUCAUUGCAGCCUCUGCCUCCUGGGUUCAAGCAAUUCUCCUGCCUCUGCCUCCCGAGUAGCUGGGAAUACAGGCAUGCACCACAAUGCCCAGCUAAUUUUUAGUAGAGACGAGGUUUCAUCAUGUUUGUCAGACUGGUCUCGAACUCCUGUCCUCAAGUGAUCUGCCCGCCUCGGCUUUCUAAAGUGCUGGGAUUACAGGUGUGAGCCACUAUGCCCAGCCUACGUCUAUAUCUAAUAUAUUAAAUAAGACAAAAAUACCAGUCCACUAAAAAAGGUAGAAUAAUAAUUUUAAGAGAGUCCAGUUAAAAUUCAGGCCAAUUUUAUAUAAUCUCAAUGAGUGAUUUUAUGGUACCUCUUUUAACCAGAUUUUUGCAAUCCAUAAUUCCAAUUCUUUUUAAAGCAUGUCAAAUUCUUUUUGAAACAUACACAGUUAACAAAAUACAAAAUGGCAAGCAGUGACAUAUAACCAAUUUUAGAUGCUGUAUGAUGAUAUUUGUGGACUAAGAAGAGUUAGGUUAUAGAUUUAAAUUCAGAAAAUAAUGAGAAAUCACUUACCUCUAACUAAAGUUCUCCGAAGGUAGUAUCCUCCUUAGAACCCCUAUCUUGGGUAGUUUCACCUGCUGUAAUUUCCCUCAAGAGAUUCCAGCAAAGUCUAGAAAGUUUUAAGUUCUCUUCCGCAAGCCCUAUUAGCGCAUGUGUGUUAUAAACCUGCUCACAUACUGCUUCAUAGCUGCAACUUCCAAUUCCCACUGAACCACCACCACUACUACCACCCAUGUAUCAUCAGUGGAGGAUACUACCUUUGGAGAAUUCCAUUUAGAAAUGUGAUAUUGUUCACAUCCCCAGAAGUAUCCUCCAAAUCACUCCAUUACUUUGUCUAUUAAUAUACUUAAGAGAGUGGUGGCAAAUCAGCAGGUGAAUAAAUAAUGACAUAAAGAUUUAGCUGAGCAAUUAUAUUUGCUGAAUACUCAAAUAUAAGAUUUAAUACAGCAAAAUUUAGCUUCCUCAAUAUUCAAUUAAUAUGUUAAAAACUAAAUUAAAUGUAUAUAUGGAAAAAUUUUCAUAAAAAUACUUUAAUAAAUAAGGUAUAAAAAAUAGUCCAUAUCACUUGGGACUACCAAAUAUUUCCCUAGUAUAUUUUGUCAGAGAAAUGCGAGUAUUUAAAAAUUAGUUAGGAAAUCAGUCAUUGAAAGACAAAUGUUAGUUUUUCAAUGAUUUUUUCAGUAUGUCAUUUCUACUUUGAACUGCCAAUUAAAGCAAAAUAAGGUUAAAAAAUAAAAACCAAAACUAGCCAUCCAAACCAAAGCUCAUUUAAUACACCUAGAUGGCCAUUUAAAAAAGUAGUACUAAACAUCUAAAAAACUUUUCAAAUAUACUCAGGAAGCCGACUAUGAAAAACAGUAGCAGAAAGGAGACUUGAUCUUACGCUACCCAGAAAAGGUCUUUUACUUAGAUGCUUGCUUUGUAUCUCCAUUGACUGAUUCCAUAAUUUAUUGCUGGUUAUUUCCUAAUAGCCAUAUAAAGGUAGGAGAAAAAAUCAAAAGGAAUCAAUCAUCCUAGAGGCCAGAGGACUAAACCAUACUUGUAGCACUAUCUUAGAAGUAUAGAAAAGCUUUUAAAAAACUGAUUUUUAGCUACAAGCCACCAUCAGUUUAAUAACAACAUAAAUAAGACCAAAACAUAAAACAUAAUGAAAUUCUAUUGUUUAAAGAUAUCUUAUUUAGCUUUGAAAGCUUCCCCUGGCACAUGGUAGGUUCAAAUAAAUGUUUCUGAGCACUUUAAUUUUAAAUAUCAACUUAAGUCUUUCCAUUAUUUUCCUGUCGUAUAAGUAAAUACACAUAUGUAUAGAUAAAAUACAAUUAAAAAAUUAUAAAAAAGCAAUUAAGAAAUGGAUGACAUAUGGAAUGAGAAAAUCUUAGCUAAUCCUCCAAUCAGAUACUCAGUAUAUGAAUAAUUAAGGUGAUUACAGUUUUGAUUCUUUGAAUUAUCUGUGCUACUACAAUGUAUAUUUUUUAAACUAAAUAUUUAAAGUAGGGAUGCUUCUUUUAAAAAUAUGGACUGUUUGUCAUAAAAACCAGAGGUGCUUUUACCAAUUUUAAAAGUGUAUGGAUCAAAACAAUCCCCCCAAAACAAAGUACUUUCCAGUGCAAAAAGUGGUCACAAUAACAGCAUUUAUAAAAUAGACUGUUUAGAGGUAAAAAAAAAAAAAGAUAAAAGUGAAAUCAUCUAAUCACCUAUCCAAAAGAAUAAAACACUGAACCAUGAGGCAGUACAUUUGCAUUCACUUUCUCUCUUAUAAUACAUGCACUAUUAGGACUCACUGAAGGGUCAAAAAUCUUCUAGAUCUUGCUAAUUUAAAUGCAGGAAUGACUAACAACCCAAGAAGGUGUAUCUAGGAUGAUACUUACCUUACAAGAGAUUAUACCACUGUGCUAUUAUGUAUUCUGUGUAAGGAUACACAAGCAGUCAGGUGAAAGGUACACACCACACUAGCAAAUGCUUGGCUGG